GCGCGAAAACUUUACAAUGCUGGCAACAGCGAUAAGGGAACCUCGAGUGCCAGGUUACAAAUCUGGCUGUUGAGAUGCCUAAAAAGCAUUUCAUAGCAAGGGCCGGGCAAGACCGGUGCCAGCCGCCGCGGUAACACCGGCGGCUCGAGUGGUAACCGUUAUUAUUGGGUCUAAAGGGUCUGUAGCUGGCCGGAUAAGUCUCUUGAGAAAUCUGGCAGCUUAACUGUCAGGCUUUCAGGAAAUACUGUCUGGCUCGAGGCCGGGAGAGGUGAGAGGUACUUCAGGGGUAGGGGUGAAAUCUUGUAAUCCUUGAAGGACCACCAGUGGCGAAGGCGUCUCACCAGAACGGACCUGACGGCAAGGGACGAAAGCUAGGGGCACGAACC
This 386-nucleotide ribosomal RNA is filed under the name uncultured prokaryote. Its description in RNAcentral is "bacterial SSU rRNA". It matches the Rfam family "Archaeal small subunit ribosomal RNA", at positions 339 to 725 of the family's 1478-position model. The record is from RNAcentral.